CUUAAAGAGUGCUAAAUAGUAAUGCUCUCCUUCAACUCAUUUUCAGCUCAUAUAAGUUUUUUUUCCUCAAGUUCUGUUUAUUGUAGCCUGAGGCUAAAAAUAUUUUCUAAAAGAUCUAAAGGAAAUGUUUUCUUCCAACAUAAUAUUCUGUGCAGUGCAGAAAGUCUUUUCUUUUUCAUUUUGGCCUAACAGAUUUUAUGGUUUAUCAAAACAAUUCCUAUGCCAUUAAGUUUUGGCUCACUUAGGAGAAAAGCUGAGAUGAUUUUUUUUAAUUAAGGUUAUUACCUCCGUGUAUCUUUCUGUAUGUUCUUUUAAAGUACUUGUGACAUUGAGUUACAGGGCUUUGACUCCCGGGCCUAAAAAUGACAUCAAGUCCUGCUAAAUAUUAAACACUGACAGCAACUAAAGCCUCUUCUUCAGGCCCAGUAGAAGAUGCCAAUCAAAAUAAACUGCAUUCCUGAAACAUAGGGCCAGAAAUUAAAGUUAUUCAACUCCUCAAGGCCCAGGGACUAUUGCAAAAGAGGUGGGCAUGUGAGAUUGUAAGGGCCGAUUUAGUUUCUCUAUAAAUUAAUCAUUAACACCAAAAGCACACUGAAGCAACAUCAGCAUAUGGGCCCCUGUGUCAGAUUAACAAAGUUUUCUUGAAGCAGUAACCAACUUCUUAAUAAAGGAUACAAAGUUUAUAAAAGGCUUAUGGAAGUUAUAUUGUAACUGCCCAAUGGGUUCACCUUGCCCACUGCCUAGACAGAGCCAAUUUAUCAAGAUGGGAAUUGCAAUAGAGAAACAGUAAUUCAUGCAGAGCCAGCUGUGUGGGAGACUGAAGUUUUAUGAUUACUUAAGUCAGUCUCUCCAAGUAUUUGUGGAGCAGAAUUUUUAAGGAUAAUUUGGUGAAUAUGGGGGAGGCCAAUAAAUUAAAAGUGCUGAGGGGUUGGGUUGGAAAUGAAAUCAUGGAAAGUUGACGCUGUCCUCUUGCACUGAGUCAGUUCCUGGGUGGGGGCCCCACGAUCAGAUUCACCAGUUUAUCAAUCUGUGUGGUGCCAACUGAUCCAUCAAGUUCAGGUCUGUAAAAUAUCUCAAGCACUGAUCUUAGGAGGAGUUUAGGGAGGGUCAGAACUUCCAGCCUCCAGCUGCAUGGCUCCUAAACCAUAAUUUCUAAUCUUGUGGCUAAUUUGUUAGUCCCAUAAAGGCAGUCUAUUCCCCAGGCAAAAAGGAGGUUCAUUUUGGGAAAGGACUGCUAUCAUCUUUCUUUUAAACUAUAAACUAUGAACUAAGUUCUUCCCAAAGUUAGCUCAGCCUAUGCUCAGGAAGGAACAAGGACAGCUUAAAGGUUAGAAGCAAGAUGGAGUCAGUUAGGAUAGAUCUCUUUCACUGUGUCAGUCAUAAUUUUGCAAAGGUAGUUUCAAUAUCUUAUGGUCAAGAUUAAAAUUUUAUAGAUUGUUUAUAAAAUUUUGAAAAACAAAUUUAAUUGGCUUUAUGCUGUCUUUAUUGGGGCUUAUUGUAUAGAAAAUUAAGUCUCCUCUCAAAGAAUGAAGAUUUUUGCCUUUUUUUUUUUAAAUCCUCGAGUUAUGACUUUGGUCAAAUGAAUAACUUAUUUUAUAAUGACCUGUGAUAUCAAGUGUUUUAAACCUUUGAUAUUUGAUAACCUUUCAAAAAUCAAAUUAGAAAUUGUGUCUUUUUCUGAUCUAGUUAAUCAUUUAAGAUAUUAGUUUCCCUAAAUUCAAAACAUGACAUAAUUUGGCUUAUUUGGUAUAAAAUUAUACAGUAAGCACUGUCAAAUAUGAAAUGGUGUUUGGUUUUCUUUGGGUUGUAUUUGUAUAAAUGUAUUAUUGAUAUGUGUUCCAAAAUCAUGGGAAACACCUAUAAUCCUGUAAUCCUGAUAUGACUUAGUGUACAUCAUCAGUAAUAAUUAUAACUAUUAUGUUAAAUUAUUAUGUGCCACAGAGGUAACAAAUUUUCUGGUCAGUUUUGUCUUUGACUAUGCCUGCCCUAAAACAUUUUGUCAUCCAUGGACAAUUGGUGCCUUGUUUGGUCCUCCUUAGAAGGUGGUUUCAUAAUCAGUUAUAAAACUCUAAUAGGUGCUUUUGAAUGCAGAUUUCUGAUAACUUUGAGAGGGAAAACUUUCAGGACUCAUGGGGAGCUGAAAUGUUCAUGAAUAUUAAGCAGAACAGGAAUUUACUACAGAGACUGAACUAACAGAAAACUGAAGUAUCUUUUUAUAUUUUUGCUUAAAAUGUUGCUGACCCUCUGUUUUUUUUUUUUUUCAGAGUCAAGGAAACUUUUAUUUUGAGCUAUUGUAAGGUUUCAACAAUUUAGUAUACUCCUAUGAAGAAAAUUUGGAGCGUAUUUGUUUCUCUUUACCUGAUUUCUCCAGAAUUUGGAAACUAUUUGCGAGUAGUCUUAACUUACAGCAAUAUGGCUAUUUGCAUAAGUGCAAAUAAAAAUCUGUUAUAAUUUGUAACAGGACACAAUGGGAGAAACUGGUUAUUUUACCAAGGCUUUCACUGGAAUGAUGUGCUUUCCUUUAAGAAAUCAAACUUAACUUAUGGAGCCAAUAAAAACCCAUUGGGAAAACUGGCCUCAUACCUUGUUUACACAGCCCAUGUACAGGGUUCGUGACCUGGGGUGACUUUAACUCCAAUGUCUACCCUCAUAAAUUGAACAUUAUUGAAGGCCCACUUUCCAGUGUCAUGAGAAGGGAAGCACGAUCAUGAAAUGAGCAAAGAAGGCCAGAUAAUCUUUAGAGGUCCUACAAUCCAUAUUCCCAUAAUUGGCAUCUUUUUUGAAGAAAGUCAAUGAAAGAAAAGAAAAGUACAUAUUAAUUAUUUA
This 2826-nucleotide long non-coding RNA is filed under the name Homo sapiens (human). RNAcentral describes it as "HSALNT0285992". The record is from RNAcentral. Lineage: Eukaryota; Metazoa; Chordata; Mammalia; Primates; Hominidae.